Molecule: ribosomal RNA, 497 nt
Filed under: uncultured bacterium
Lineage: Bacteria
Description: bacterial SSU rRNA
Rfam family: Bacterial small subunit ribosomal RNA
Source: RNAcentral
GAUGAACGCUAGCUACAGGCUUAACACAUGCAAGUCGAGGGGCAGCGCAGUGUAGCAAUACAUGGGCGGCGACCGGCGCACGGGUGCGUAACGCGUAUCCAACCUUCCCGUUACUCAGGGAUAGCCUUCCGAAAGGGAGAUUAAUACCUGAUGGUGUUCAAAUUUCGCAUGUUAUUUGAAUUAAAGAUUUAUCGGUAACGGAUGGGGAUGCGUGACAUUAGGUAGAUGGCGGGGUAACGGCCCACCAUGCCUACGAUGUCUAGGGGUUCUGAGAGGAAGGUCCCCCACACUGGAACUGAGACACGGUCCAGACUCCUACGGGAGGCAGCAGUGAGGAAUAUUGGUCAAUGGUCUGACGACUGAACCAGCCAUGCCGCGUGAAGGUCACGGCCCUAUGGGUCUUAAAACUUCUUUUGUAAAGGGAGCAAUAAGUCUCACGUGUGGGAUGAUGAGAGUACCUUACGAAUAAGCAUCGGCCAACUCCGUGCCAGCAGCCG